Xenopus tropicalis (tropical clawed frog) is the source of this 1101-nucleotide non-coding RNA. The record is from RefSeq and is a predicted model, not a curated record. NCBI's taxonomy places the organism in Eukaryota, Metazoa, Chordata, Amphibia, Anura, Pipidae.
AAGCAUUUGUAAGAGGUAGUUAUAGAGCUCCAGGAGUGUGCUUGAAGGGUUACAGUUGACCACCUGCUGGUAAAAGUUGACAUGCUCUGGAGCCCGCGCCUUGGAUGUAAACAUGGAAAAGACCUUUAACCUGAAACUGGGACCAUUCAAAAGGCUGGAUUCACCUCCGACUGCAGCUCCUGAUUCACCGUCUGCAGCUCCUGAUUCACCGUCUGCAGCUUCCGGCACCCAAGCAUCAUGGACAGUUACUGUGCUGCUAAUGCUCAUGUCAGCAGUCUUGGUUUCUGGAAAGCAGUGAUAUUCUGCGCUGGAUUUCUCAAACCUGCAAACCCAGGCACUGCAGGAUUCUUCAGUUUUCAUGGAAAUAUCCAGUCUUAUUUUACAUGUUGUCAAUAGACAAUGCUAUCCUUUAGAAUUGUGCAGAGCACUGGAAUAGUUGAUUAUUAGUAGAUAAUAAUGACAUAUGAGCUUAUAAAUUUUCUUUAAAUGGCCAAUAGGUGGCAGUAGAGUUUUGUUAAAACCAAUUAAAAAUUUAUGACCGUAGUUCACCCCCCAACCACUAGUGUGGGGAAGAAUGUAUAAAAGGGGGCCACACCCAGAAUUAGUGGUCUUUAUGGGACAAUACAGGAAGAGACCAGCUAGAAGUGAAGAAGACCAAUAUACAGGGUAAGGAGAGGUCAGAACAGGGCAGCUAAUAGUUGAGCAGGCACUAGGUGUCUGAGUCAGGGUUCAGUAGUAAGGGUCGUCUAUUGCCCCACCAAGGAGGGUAGAGGGAAAUAAUCUUCCCAGUGGAUCAUCCACAGAACAGGGACCCGAGUAGAUAGGGGUAGGCUAGAAGGAGGGCUUGAUGAGCUUCGGGCUAGUGUCGGCCAGUAGAAAAGGCCUGGUGGAAUAGCAAAGGGCACCGGGAGUGCUGGAUUGCUGAACCAGGUGGGGACAGGAGCCCAAAAGUAGCUACCCCUGGUAAGACUGACGUCCUCUGGAUACUGUGGAAUUGUACAUGUUUUGUAGAGAAAGCCCUGUUGGAAACAUCGUGAAUAUUUACCUGUAUGCUGUGACUCCCUUGUGAUAUGUGAUUAAAGUUAUUUUGCAUUACUUGUU